RNAcentral lists this unclassified non-coding RNA (221 nucleotides) under uncultured fungus. RNAcentral's name for it is "sequence contains ITS2". The record is from RNAcentral. Lineage: Eukaryota; Fungi.
AACGCACAUUGCGCCUCUCUUUACCGGGAGGCAUGCCUGUCUGAGCGUCAUUUAAACCAAUGAACAUAUUUCGUGUUCGUAUUGGGUUUCGUCCGUCUUCGCACGUUACCUUAAAGCAAUUGUCUAGAUUAGCGGACGAGAUCCUUUAGGACUAACCGCAAAUCAACGCAAAAAUUUCUGAUUGUGACCUCAGAUCAGGUAGGGAUACCGCCUGAACUUAA